AAUUGCUUAUAUAUUUUUGAAAAAUUUUCAAUUUUCUAAUUUAUUCUUCUUAAAGGUUAAUAUUAAAAAUACUAUUUUUACGUUUCAAUCUAUUUUAAAUAUAUUUCUAGAGUUAAAAUCUGUUAAUGAACUCUAUUAUCUCUAUAAAAUUACUAUUUUGUCAUUUCAAAUAUACCCUUCUAUCAAUACCGAUUUUUCUUAUUUGCCCUUAAGUUAGGGAUACAAAAAGUAUUUUACUUUUUGGUCAUUUCAAAUAUACCUUUUUACCAUCACUAAUAUUUUUUAUUUGCCCUUAAGUUAAAGGCAAAAGUGACAUUUUAAUUUUUUUUUUUAACUGUGGUAAAUAUUUAACUUACGUUUAACCCAAAUUAACUUAACGGAUGAUAACUGUAGGAGUAUUUUGGAAUAACGGAUAAACAUAUGAGAGGUUUAUUGGAAAGAAAAAAAUAGAAAUAAAUAAAAUAUUAUCGAAAUUUUGUGGGACACAUAGGCAAUCAUUUCUAAAAUUA
RNAcentral lists this long non-coding RNA (509 nucleotides) under Ananas comosus (pineapple). Its description in RNAcentral is "long non-coding RNA (ACOM_LNC031410)". The record is from RNAcentral. Lineage: Eukaryota; Viridiplantae; Streptophyta; Magnoliopsida; Poales; Bromeliaceae.